UAAUACGAAGGGGGCUAGCGUUGUUCGGAAUUACUGGGCGUAAAGGGCGCGUAGGCGGUCUUUUAAGUUAGGCGUGAAAGCCCCGGGCUCAACCCGGGAACUGCGCUUAAGACUGAAAGACUAGAAAACGGAAGAGGGUAGUGGAAUUCCAAGUGUAGAGGUGAAAUUCGUAGAUAUUGGGAAGAACACCAGUGGCGAAGGCGGCUCACUGGUCCGUAACUGACGCUGAGGUGCGAAAGCGUGGGGAGCGAACAGGAUUAGAUACCCUGGUAGUCCACGCCGUAAACGAUGAGUGCUAAGUGU
This 303-nucleotide ribosomal RNA is filed under the name Oxyrrhis marina. RNAcentral's name for it is "partial Bacterial small subunit ribosomal RNA". It matches the Rfam family "Bacterial small subunit ribosomal RNA", at positions 521 to 823 of the family's 1533-position model. Lineage: Eukaryota; Dinophyceae; Oxyrrhinales; Oxyrrhinaceae. The record is from RNAcentral.